CCCCGUGUUGGGAAUAGUGUCCCAAAGCCAAUCGUCAGCCUGUUGACGGUUGUGCUCUUUCCUGUAUUAGUACAUGAAUUAUAAAUAAAUAAAAGUUAUUUUGGCAUUUUUCAUCACAAAUUGUUUCAUCUUCUAAUGAACUCCUGUGUUGUGGUGAAGUCCUUAGGACUAUUUAGACUCGACAAAGGAGGAUUUGUCGUUUAGUCCUUAAACCUGUUCGCGACCAAACGAUACGUUGUUACUAAGGACAACAACGUUUAUCAAGCAUA
Molecule: long non-coding RNA, 269 nt
Filed under: Elaeis guineensis (African oil palm)
Lineage: Eukaryota; Viridiplantae; Streptophyta; Magnoliopsida; Arecales; Arecaceae
Description: long non-coding RNA (EGUI_LNC061183)
Source: RNAcentral